This 86-nucleotide transfer RNA is filed under the name Halobacterium salinarum. It matches the Rfam family "tRNA". Rfam says of the family: Transfer RNA (tRNA) molecules are approximately 80 nucleotides in length. Their secondary structure includes four short double-helical elements and three loops (D, anti-codon, and T loops). The record is from RNAcentral. Lineage: Archaea; Methanobacteriati; Methanobacteriota; Halobacteria; Halobacteriales; Halobacteriaceae.
GUCGUGGUAGCCUAGCCUGGUCAAGGCGCAGGGUUGCUAACUCUGUGGCGUAACUCUCCGGGGUUCAAAUCCCCGCCACGACGCCU